RNAcentral lists this long non-coding RNA (292 nucleotides) under Zostera marina. Its description in RNAcentral is "long non-coding RNA (ZMAR_LNC001713)". Lineage: Eukaryota; Viridiplantae; Streptophyta; Magnoliopsida; Alismatales; Zosteraceae. The record is from RNAcentral.
AUUCCCCGGCGGAGCAAUGUUCACGUUGCACGGCCAACAAGGCAGGAGAGGAGGCGUUGGCGGGGGAGGAGAUGGGUGGUGGUGGUGCUUCUUUGGAGGAGGUGGACAGUCGAUCACCGAAGGUGGUGGAGGUGAUGGUGGAGGAGGAGAUGGUGAUGGAUAUUCGCAAGCGUCGCACUUCGUUUCCCCUUGACUUGCCGCCGGUGCCGCCGUCAGGCUACCUAGAACAGCAAAGGUGAGAAGAAAAGUUGAAAUUUUCAUGGUAGAAAGAUCCCAAAUCAAGGAAGGAAGG